UUGAAUUUGAUGUACCAAGGGAAUUUGUUUGCUUGCUUUAAAAGAACAAUACUUAAAAAAUGUUAAAGUCAUGAUGGGAUACAGUGGACCAUACCCAUAGAAAGAGGCAAGGGUAUUUUCCCACAGGGCCAGAUAGAGCAAGGGAGUGCUAAUGAGGUGAGUUCUCUGAAUUCUAAAGAAUCAGAUUACUAUAAUAAUAAGAUGCUGGAGGCUCUGUCUUUUGAAGCUGAAGAGCAAUAUUGUUUAAAAUUGAUAUUAGUUCAGUGUUUUGGUGACUGAGUAGGAAAUGGGUGGGGUGUUUUGCAGGCUGAAUUGGCCAGUCCACUGAACGAGGCCGAUGGGCAUCGGGGCAUAAUCCCAGCCAAUACCAGGCUCCACACCACGCUGUCAGUCAGCCUGGGGAAUGAGACCCAAACUGCUCAUACAGAAUUAUGCAUUUCCACUUCUAAUGACACCAUCAUCCGAGCAGUAUUGAUUUUUGCAGAGGGAAUUUUUACAGGUGAAAGCCACGUGGUACAUCCCAGCAUUCACAACCUCUCCAGUUCCAUCUGCAUCCCUAUUGCGCCUCCCAAAGAUGUCCCUGUGGAUCUGCACU
This 595-nucleotide small RNA is filed under the name Pongo abelii (Sumatran orangutan). RNAcentral's name for it is "retained intron". Lineage: Eukaryota; Metazoa; Chordata; Mammalia; Primates; Hominidae. The record is from RNAcentral.